UUUGAUCCUGGCUCAGAAUCAACGCUGGCGGCGUGCCUAACACAUGCAAGUCGAACGAGAAAGUGGAGCAAUCCAUGAGUAAAGUGGCGACCGGGUGAGUAACACGUGACCAAUCUACCCUUGAGUGGGGGAUAACCUCGGGAAACCGGGGCUAAUACCGCAUAACAUCUCUGGAUCGGAAGAACCGGAGAUCAAAGGAGCAAUUCGCUUAAGGAGGAGGUCGCGGCUGAUUAGCUAGUUGGCGGGGUAAUGGCCCACCAAGGCAAAGAUCGGUAGCCGGCCUGAGAGGGCGCACGGCCACACUGGAACUGAAACACGGUCCAGACUCCUACGGGAGGCAGCAGUGGGGAAUUUUGCGCAAUGGGGGAAACCCUGACGCAGCAACGCCGCGUGGAGGAUGAAGUCCCUUGGGACGUAAACUCCUUUCGACCCGGACGAUAAUGACGGUACGGGUGGAAGAAGCCCCGGC
RNAcentral lists this ribosomal RNA (469 nucleotides) under uncultured Actinomycetes bacterium. RNAcentral's name for it is "bacterial SSU rRNA". It matches the Rfam family "Bacterial small subunit ribosomal RNA", at positions 12 to 497 of the family's 1533-position model. Lineage: Bacteria; Bacillati; Actinomycetota; Actinomycetes. The record is from RNAcentral.